This is a long non-coding RNA of Girardinichthys multiradiatus, 395 nucleotides long. RefSeq lists it as uncharacterized. Lineage: Eukaryota; Metazoa; Chordata; Actinopteri; Cyprinodontiformes; Goodeidae. The record is from RefSeq and is a predicted model, not a curated record. The transcript is spliced from 3 exons.
CUCCAAACUCAUUAGUUUCAGCACCAGGGAAAGACAGCUCGUCCAUUUUGUCAAGGUCCUUCCUGGACAGCCAGUGAACAACUGCCACGCUGAGGUAGUCUCCUGGGACACAGACAGAAGUCCUGCAGAGCUGAGAAAGCAGGUUGUGGGGAUUCCUGUUAAGAUUAUUCGACUGGGAUUCUGUGGCUGUGAUCUGGGCUUCUCUGCUGGAUGCUGCUGCUGAUACACUGCAGAUGAGAGAAGAGCCAUCGCCUAUCUUCUUCACUUAAUUAAACUAUACAACCAAGUGAUUUGCUGCUUACUACCUUGCUAGAUGUUAAUUAGAUUUUACUCUUCCAAGCCAACACUGGCCAAAAAUCUGUAAUGCAUCUGAAUGAGUUAUAUUAAACACUACA